GAAAGUGGCCAGCGGCAGCAAGAACUGCUAAUUCUUGUACCCGCAGUUGAAUUCUGCGGCUCAUUCA
RNAcentral lists this transfer RNA (67 nucleotides) under Bunocephalus coracoideus (banjo catfish). RNAcentral's name for it is "tRNA-Ser (AGY)". Lineage: Eukaryota; Metazoa; Chordata; Actinopteri; Siluriformes; Aspredinidae. The record is from RNAcentral.